Felis catus (domestic cat) is the source of this 849-nucleotide long non-coding RNA. RefSeq lists it as uncharacterized. NCBI's taxonomy places the organism in Eukaryota, Metazoa, Chordata, Mammalia, Carnivora, Felidae. The transcript has 3 exons. The record is from RefSeq and is a predicted model, not a curated record.
GUAGGCUCUGUGGUGUCAGCACAGAGCCCGACAUGGGCUUGAAAUGGGUUGGUGAUCUCACCUGAGCUGAGAUCAAGAGUCAGACACUUAACCUAUUGAUCCACCCAGAUGCCCCUACUCAGAUUCAUCUUUAAUUGGUAGAAUGGGUAUUUAUCACCCUAUCUGUUCUCAGUGAGGAAAGAGUGAUCUAAAUCAGUCUGAGAUGCAUAUUCCUUUAUGCAUCCUCUUUCCAUAUUCCUUUAUGCAUCCUCUUUCCACCUCUUCUUGCUUUUCCUUUCUAUGAUUUAGAGAGUGAUUUCCUGGUACAGGUUUGAAGAAAUGGAAAAGUCCAGCCUUGGUUUAUCAGUAGAUUAGUCUCUUAUGGUUUUGCUUUUCACAGUUUCAGUUACCUGUGGUCAGCUGUGGUCCAGAGGUGAUGAUCUGAUGUAUUGUUAGGUCAGUAGUAGCCUAAUGCUACAUCACGAUGCUUACAUCAGUCACCUCAGUCAUCUCAUCAUGUAGGCAUUUUAUCAUCUCACAGCAUCACAAGAAGAAGUCCUCCAGCCCAAAGAUGACUUCACAUUUAGACAAUUCCAGACUAAGCACCUUAAAUAGGCCAUCUCUUGGGAUCUUCAUUAUAAUCCUACAAGGGGUGGGAGGGCUACAGAGACCUCCCAUCCAAAACGUAGUCUGAGUACCAUCUGCAUCAGAACCACUUGGGGGAAUUAUCAAGAAUGGAUAUUCUUGUGAAGGAGACAACCAACAAAACUAAAAGGCAGUCUACGGAAUGGGAGAAGAUAUUUGCCAGUGACACAUCUGAUAAAGGGUUAGUAUCCAAAAUCUAUAAAGAACUUAUCAAACUCAGCACCC